This 803-nucleotide long non-coding RNA is filed under the name Cucumis sativus (cucumber). RNAcentral's name for it is "long non-coding RNA (CSAT_LNC001608)". The record is from RNAcentral. Lineage: Eukaryota; Viridiplantae; Streptophyta; Magnoliopsida; Cucurbitales; Cucurbitaceae.
ACCCUGUACAUCGCAGUCUUGUGAUCCCGUAGGAUACACAUCUCAGUCUAACGCCCGAGGGACGUACAUAUCAGUCUAACGCCCCGAGGGACGUACAUAUCAGUCUAACGCCCCGAGGGACGUACAUAUCAGUCUAACGCCCCGAGGGACGUACAUAUCAGUCUAACGCCCCGAGGGACGUACAUAUCAGUCUAACGCCCCGAGGGACGUACAUAUCAGUCUAACGCCCCGAGGGACGUACAUAUCAGUCUAGUGUUCUGCAGAAACACAUAUCAGUCAAAUGCUCCCGAAGGUGCAAAAUAAAUUGGUGAUCCCGUGGGACACCUACAAGGUAAACAUCCCAAUACAAUCUAACAAUUUAUCCCUCAUUCCAUUCAAUCCAUCUUUCAGUUACUUCAAAACAUAGAGUUCUUUCUCUCAACGUCCUAACAGUCAACUUAUCUCACUUUAGUCAUAUGUCUAUCAAUAAUAUACUAAUACGUCAGUCAAUCAAACUAUACAGUCAAUACACCCCUCAGAUCACCAGCACACAGUCAUACUUUAGCGUAAAGUACACCCAAUCUAAACGACAAUCACAAGAUCGUAUCUGCAUCUCAUACAAGCACAAUCUACAAUUUUCGUCCUGUCCACAUCCACACACACAUAUAUAUAUUCCAUGACAAUCACAAUAUGCAUUCAACAUUAAGUCUACUUCAAUUCAUAUGCAUAUAUAUAUUUUCAGUCAAUCCACAAUAUACAUUCAACACCGAAUCUACAUCCAUACGUGUAUAUAUAUAUAUCAUCUCAUCAUCUUUACUCAGUCA